This 266-nucleotide ribosomal RNA is filed under the name uncultured Staphylococcus sp. Its description in RNAcentral is "partial 16S ribosomal RNA". It matches the Rfam family "Bacterial small subunit ribosomal RNA", at positions 96 to 354 of the family's 1533-position model. The record is from RNAcentral. Lineage: Bacteria; Bacillati; Bacillota; Bacilli; Caryophanales; Staphylococcaceae.
CGGCGGACGGGUGAGUAACACGUGGAUAACCUACCUAUAAGACUGGGAUAACUUCGGGAAACCGGAGCUAAUACCGUAUAAUAUAUUGAACUGCAUGGUUCAAUAGUGAAAGACGGUUUUGCUGUCACCUAUAGAUGGAUCCGCGCCGCAUUAGCUAGUUGGUAAGGUAACGGCUUACCAAGGCAACGAUGCGUAGCCGACCUGAGAGGGUGAUCGGCCACACUGGAACUGAGACACGGUCCAGACUCCUACGGGAGGCAGCAGGG